UACGUAGGUGGCAAGCGUUGUUCGGAAUUAUUGGGCGUAAAGGGCGCGUAGGCGGUUUGUUAAGUCGGUUGUGAAAGCCCGGGGCUCAACCCCGGAGGGUCGACCGAUACUGGCAGGCUAGAGUACAGAAGAGGUAGCUGGAAUUCCUGGUGUAGCGGUGAAAUGCGCAGAUAUCAGGAGGAACACCGGUGGCGAAGGCGGGUCUCUGGGCCGAUACUGACGCUGAGGAGCGAAAGCGUGGGGAGCGAACAGG
This 253-nucleotide ribosomal RNA is filed under the name uncultured bacterium. RNAcentral's name for it is "partial 16S ribosomal RNA". It matches the Rfam family "Bacterial small subunit ribosomal RNA", at positions 524 to 776 of the family's 1533-position model. The record is from RNAcentral.